GACGAACGCUGGCGGCGUGCUUAACACAUGCAAGUCGAACGGAAAGGCCCUGCUUGCAGGGUACUCGAGUGGCGAACGGGUGAGUAACACGUGGGUGAUCUGCCCUGCACUUCGGGAUAAGCCUGGGAAACUGGGUCUAAUACCGGAUAGGAGCCACUUUUAGUGUGAUGGUUGGAAAGUUGUUUCGGUGUAGGAUGAGCGCGGGGCCUAUCAGCUUGUUGGUGGGGUAAUGGCCUACCAAGGCGGCGACGGGUAGCCGACCUGAGAGGGUGGACGGCCACAUGGGGACUGAGAUACGGCCCAGACGCCAACAGGAGGCAGCGGUGGGAAGUAUUGCACAAUGAGCGCGAGCCUGAUGCGGAGGCGCCGCGUGGGGGAUGACGGCCUUCGGGUUGUAAACUCCUUUCGCUAGAGACGAAGCCUUUGUGACGGUACCUAGAUAAGAAGCACCGGCUAACUACGUG
RNAcentral lists this ribosomal RNA (464 nucleotides) under uncultured bacterium. RNAcentral's name for it is "partial 16S ribosomal RNA". It matches the Rfam family "Bacterial small subunit ribosomal RNA", at positions 28 to 507 of the family's 1533-position model. The record is from RNAcentral.